Molecule: long non-coding RNA, 3089 nt
Organism: Gallus gallus (chicken)
Lineage: Eukaryota; Metazoa; Chordata; Aves; Galliformes; Phasianidae
Exons: 2
Source: RefSeq, a predicted model, not a curated record
AUCUGAAAAGGGAAGGGUAAAAAGAGAGAAAAAUGUCUUACUACUCACAUUGGAAAAUAACACGCAUUACCCACAGCUAGGGAAGUCAGGCAGUCACAGAAAAUCACUCCUUGGAAUCAAUCACACUGCAAAGUUUGUGCCAAAGAAAACUACUGCUUUUAUGGAGUUUUCUAAAUCGUUGCUUCCACAACUGUCUGCUCACAAUUGAAGCUACAAAGAAAUCAGGAGGCGGCUUCAUCACAAAGACAAAUUUCUGAUGGUUUACUGGAAGCGGCAUUUUGUAAGAUUUUUACACAAAUAAAUACUAACAUCCUGGCACUAAAGCUUUUCUUAUUAAAAACAAUUGUCAUCUGACAGGAUUUUUUACUGCCAAAUAUGAUGUCGCCUUCCCUGAAGUGCUGUUCUAAGCAUUAAGGUAGCAGCCUACUGUGGUAGAGACCCUAAAAGGAACAACACCAAUCGUGCACAAACAACAACAGCAAAAUGAACUGGACAACGAAAGAGCUCGGCCUCUGUACUCUAGUCCAGUUAUUUGCAGCUUCUGACGCUCAGGCUUACAAAGGUCCACGCAGUGCUUCUAAAGGAGUCACUGAGAUCACAAAGAAAACCAAAGCGAGGCAUCCUAGCCUUUGACUGAAGGCAACGGUAGUUGCAAUUCACCUUUCUGUAGAGCAUAUACCUGCUUUUUGCCAACUGCAUUCUAGUCUACACCCCAUUUACUUCAUCUUCAUCGCCUCAAAGACAGCCCGACCCAAACAACUAGAUUAAAUACAGUCACUUAAGCUUAAGUAAGAUGCCCUCACCUACCCAGCUGAGAGAGAAUUCUGGUUCUAUGCCCUUACAGAAUGCUGUAUAGGUGGGAGACUCAUGGAAAAAACAACAUUAAUUUGAAAUAUGACAAAUUCAAGAGAAAGAAAGGAGGGAGGCCCGGCUUAUAGUAAGACGACGUGAUGCUCAGGGAUCACUACAUCUAAUCUUCCCCAUUGUUUGAUCCAAUCUAACACAGAAAGGCAGCUGGUUUCCACAGGCAGCUGUAGAAGCUGAGGUUAUGCUUCUCUCUCCACCUCACUCAGACAGCAGAAGUUGGUCACGCUUAGGGAAGCAAAGAUCCACCCGUAAGUUUAUUGGUACAAAAGAGGAAAAUCAAUUAAAGCUUUACGUAUCUUUCAAAUUAAACUUUACUCAUUGCUUCUCCUACAUUCCAUCUGCAGGCAGCUUUCCAACUCAAAACGUGCCCUCUCAAAUGAGACAUUUUCCCAACAGUGAAAGUUUUACACUUCAGAAGUUUAUUUUCUCAUCUUACCAGAAGAACUGGAACAGACUAUUCCAUUUCUGACACCCUUGCCUAAUCAUCUGCUGUACUGAAAAACACAGAUAAUGAUCAAUUUUAGAGAUGCGCCCUGAUGAAUUAACAUCAAGUUUCUUGUUUCAUUAUUAUUUAAAUAUCACCCAUCAUCAAGGAAGGAAAGACACGUUUUAUAGUAGCUCUUUAAGACAUGGCAUUUGAAAAUCUGGCUUAACAGAGUAAUUCCAACUAAUAAAAACUGAACACGGAAUCACUCUGUCGUGCUUGUCAGAAACACAAGCAGCACUUAAAUACGUCAAAGCAGUGAUCACCUCCUGCCUUCUGACUCCUCUUUGUGGAUCCAAGAAGGGCUGCUUUAUGAGCAAGGACUCCCUAAGCAUCUCUCUCUCUCUCUCAAUAGAAACAGAAAGCUAUAAAGCAUGUCUUCUUUCACAAGCUGGGAAAAAAAGUAAGAGAAAAAAACCCAAACACAGCCACCUGUGAAUAGCUCAGAGGCGUAGAAAACGAUUUUUGGACUCCUGUCUUUGAAUUUAAUUUGCAUCCUUUGCUCUUCUUAUGUAGGUCACUGAAGAGUGAUGUCACUGUUCUCAUCGAUUUUCAGUGCUAAGCUGAAACAUAACCUCCUGGAAGACCAGGCAUCGGAAAAGCGCCUUCCCCAGUUCUCCACCUCCCUCACCCAGAACCGGUGUAUUCAACAGGCAGCGUUCCAAGGGCAGCAGGGCCAGCUGUGGCAGCUUACAUCACAAAAGGGCACAAUAUCCCACACGAAGCAUCUCGGCACUGCGGAUCGGGCUACUUCUUGGUCACUGCUCUGCACCAGCCUGAGCUGCUGACAGCGCCAGGCAAUAAGACGGCGCUGACAGGAAGAUCUCUGUUUUGUUACAGACAGUAACAGACGAGAAUGCAGAAUGUCAGCUAGGAGCUGAAGAAGCAUUAUUCAAUCGCUGUAUAAAGGAAAGGAGGAACAAAGGCUCUCAUUCGUAUUUCCUUUUCGGUUAGAAAGGCCGUGGGGUAAAGAAAGCACAUGAGAAGAGGUCCAGGGGUGUGACAGGCCGCCCACAACGUCUCUAACCAGUAAGAAGGUGGAGAAAACCACCAGCUUUCAGCUGACUGUCAGCUGUAAUUACCCGGUGAUGCUACGGCCCCGUGAUUGCUGCUGGUCCCUCUUAAUACACGGCUACGAAAAUCUGCUCACGGAAACAAACCGUCAAGCAGAAGUAAGAGGGAGUUUUGCUUAAAACGACAUUCCUGCCAGCAACCACAGAGCGUUCGGAGCAACCAGUGGGUCAACCUGCAAAUGGCACUGCCGGCCUUUCCGCGCCCAUCAGGCAGACCGGGCUCCGUAAGCGCGACCCUGGAAGCAGAGCGCAGAAUCACAGAGUCGUUACGGCUGGGAAGAUCCCUACGCUCACCCAGUCCAACUGCCCGCUCGGCCGCGUCCCUCAGUGCCACAUCCGCACGGUCCCUGAGCACCUCCCGGGACGGCUACCGAACGCGGCUGCAGCGCACCGCUCCCGCGCGACGCUCCGCUCCCCGACGGGACGCGCUUCGCUACUGCCGGCGGCGGCCCGCCCUGCAGCACGGCGCCACGCCGAGCCGGGGAGCCGCGCUCUGCCCCGCUACCUUGAUGCGCUCCCCGUCGAUGGUGACGGCGCGCUCGCGGAAGUCCACGCCGAUGGUGGCCUCGGUGCGCUGCGGGAAGCGGCCGGCGCAGAAGCGGUAGGUGAGGCACGUCUUGCCCACGUUGGAGUCGCCGAUGACGAUGAUCUUGAAGAUGCGGGAG